Molecule: small nuclear RNA, 107 nt
Organism: Diceros bicornis minor
Lineage: Eukaryota; Metazoa; Chordata; Mammalia; Perissodactyla; Rhinocerotidae
Source: RefSeq, a predicted model, not a curated record
AUGUUCGCUUUAGGAAUAUACGUACUAAAAUUGGAACAAUAAAGAGAAUAUUAGCCUAUGUUCUGUUCAUGGAUGACCUGCAAACUUGGGAAUAUUUCCACAUAAUU